AUCUGGAAUCUAAUAUAAGGCACAAAUGAAUCUUUCUGCCGAGACCAGCUCAGCAGGAUGGGGCUGAAGAACGGGUGCUGUGAAACUUAAGGAAAAAAGAUAACAUAAAACAAGACAGAGACAUUUAUCUUAAGUAAAGGUGGGAACCAGGGGACUCAAGGUCUCAGGGGCCAAAAGCACUGUCUCAAGAAACCACAUUGCUUUUAUUGUCCUCUUUAGGAUGAGAUUAAGUGAGGAGGGGGCUAUGGGUGGAGGAUAUAGGGUUUGAUUAUUUUAUAAGUUCUUUUAUUAUUUUAAAAGUCACUUAGCUGGUAGAAGUUUAAGCUUUUACUCUGACCUUGAGGCACAUAAUAAUUAGCAUUUGUUAGCUAUCUAUGCAUAGCAUUCCAGAGAAUCCUCACUGUGCUUCCACAAACUGCAUGCCUAUUUUCAGCAACCCAGCGUGCCUAGGUUUGCACCUUGGUUCUCUUUGCUAAUGCAUAUUCUGCUAACGACUACUCAUAAACCACUUGGCCAUGAGGUUCCUCUUUCUCUUACUCCUUAGAGGAUAUAUUGGAUAUAUAAUGCUUGUGCACACGGCGUGCCAAUCUGCACAGGUCCAUGUGCGUAGACCAACGCAUUCAGCUGACCCUAUGAAUAGCUUAUGCCUUUAGGUCUUUGUUCUUAAGCUUAAGUCAUUUACCAGCACUGUGACUCUUUUUCCAAGCAGGAAGAUGGGAUAAAGUAAAGCAAGAAGAUGGGAUAAAGUAAAGCAGGAUAAGAUGGAGUUUUCAGCAAAGAGGCUAAGAAAAUAUUGUAGAAACAUGUCUGUGACACCUUUCCACAGGAAAGAAAAUCAUGGACCUGCAGAAUAGACUUGUGGUUGCCAAGGGGGAGGAGGAAGGAGUGGGGUGGUUGGGGAGCUUGGGAUUAAUAGAUACAAACUAUUGCCUUUGGAAUGGAAUAGCAAUGAGAUCCUGCUGUGUAGCAAUGGGAACUAUGUCUAGUCACUUAUGAUGGAGCGUGAUAAUGUGAGAAAAUAGAAUGUGUACAUGUAUGUGUAACUGGGUCACCAUGCUAUACAGUAGAGGCCACACUUGGGGCAUGUAGCAGUUCCUAGGCCGGGGACUGAACCCAUACCAAAGCAGUGACCUGAGCCACAUCAGUGACAGUGCUGGAUCCUUAACUCACUGUGCCACAAGAGAACUCCAAGAUCCAACUGGAUUUUUUUUUUUUUUCCUGUCUUUUUAGGGCUACACCCUCAGCAUAUGAAGAUUCCCAGGCUAGGGGUCAAGUUGGAGCUGCAGCUGCCAACCUAUGCCACAGGCACAGCAAUGCAGGAUCCAAGCCGAAUCUGCAGCCUACACCAUAGCUCACGGCAACUCGGGAUCCUUAACCCACUGAGCAAGGCCAGGGAUCUAACCUGCAGCCUCAUGGUUCCUAGUCGGAUUCCUCUCUGCUGGGCUAGGACCGGAACUCCUGUUUUACUUUCUAUUUGUUACAUUCUAGCAAUGGUUUCCUGAAUUUCUGUGGUAGCUUUAAUACAAUCUAUAUUGUAAUUCCUAGGGGGGUUACCACCCUUUUCCUUAAGGUGGGGGCUGGGAGAACUACUUCACAACGUCAACAUUUUGAUUGCAUUUUGAUUUCAAUUCAGAAAGGAAGGCAUUGCACAGGGGGAUAAACUUUGAGGUGACUGGGGACUGAGGCUUUUGUGAAUUCCAGCUACUUGGUCUCUAGGUCUUCCUUUUGGGUUUUGUCAAAGUCCUCUAUUCUCCUGCAAAUACCUGUGACAGCAACAUAUUACCACUUGUGUGCCUAGGCUUGCAUAUUUGGUAUAUUGCACAGUUUCAGAUGGCAGAGUAAAGGAAGACUUUUUUAAUAGGAUAGGAAAGGUAAAAUGAUUGCCCAGUCUUAGCACCUGGCUAGGGUAUCUCCUGGGUAGAGAAACAAGAGUUGUGCCCAAUUAAAAUAAUCCCCAUUUUAAUGAAUCUGUUCAUUUUUCCAGGUUUGUGGUUUUUGUGAUUUUGGUAGAGGCUUUCCUAAACUAUGAGGGCAAUAUAGAAAUCACCAGAUAGGAGUUCCCAUUGUGGUUCAGUGGUUAACAAACCUGACUAGUAUCCAUGAGGAUUUGGGUUCGAUCCCUGGCUUUGCUCAUUGGGUUAGGGAUCCCGUGUUGCUAUGGCUGUGGUUUAGGCAGGCAG
Molecule: long non-coding RNA, 2180 nt
Filed under: Sus scrofa (pig)
Lineage: Eukaryota; Metazoa; Chordata; Mammalia; Artiodactyla; Suidae
Description: lncRNA (ENSSSCG00065030572.1)
Source: RNAcentral